RNAcentral lists this ribosomal RNA (489 nucleotides) under uncultured bacterium. RNAcentral's name for it is "bacterial SSU rRNA". It matches the Rfam family "Bacterial small subunit ribosomal RNA", at positions 30 to 518 of the family's 1533-position model. The record is from RNAcentral.
UGAACGCUGGCGGCGUGCCUAACACAUGCAAGUCGAACGGAAACAUGACGCUUCGGAGGCUUCGGCCAAUGUUUGUUUGUUUAGUGGCGGACGGGUGAGUAACGCGUGGAUAACCUGCCAUAUACAGGGGGAUAACAGUUAGAAAUGACUGCUAAUACCGCAUAAGCGCACGGAACCGCAUGAUUCUGUGCGAAAAACUCCGGUGGUAUAUGAUGGAUCCGCGUCUGAUUAGCCAGUUGGCGGGGUAACGGCCCACCAAAGCGACGAUCAGUAGCCGGCCUGAGAGGGUGAACGGCCACAUUGGGACUGAGACACGGCCCAAACCCCUACGGGAGGCAGCAGUGGGGGAUAUUGCACAAUGGGGGAAACCCUGAUGCAGCCGACGCCGCGUGAGUGAAGAAGUAUUUCGGUAUGUAAAGCUCUAUCAGCAGGGAAGAUAAUGACGGUACCUGACUAAGAAGCACCGGCUAAAUACGUGCCAGCCGCGGC